This 120-nucleotide small nucleolar RNA is filed under the name Echinops telfairi (small Madagascar hedgehog). Its description in RNAcentral is "Small nucleolar RNA SNORA61 (ENSETEG00000025397.1)". The record is from RNAcentral. Lineage: Eukaryota; Metazoa; Chordata; Mammalia; Afrosoricida; Tenrecidae.
ACCCUCCAAACCCCUUAGCCGGUGGACAUAAACAUCGGUCUGAGUAGUUGUAAAAGGAGGAAACGCAACAUUGAACUGGACUUGGGGUCUUUAGUGACAGACAAGCUUAUUCAAACAUAU